RNAcentral lists this ribosomal RNA (433 nucleotides) under uncultured bacterium. RNAcentral describes it as "partial 16S ribosomal RNA". It matches the Rfam family "Bacterial small subunit ribosomal RNA", at positions 29 to 507 of the family's 1533-position model. The record is from RNAcentral.
AACGAACGCUGGCGGCAUGCCUAACACAUGCAAGUCGAACGAGACCUUCGGGUCUAGUGGCGCACGGGUGCGUAACGCGUGGGAACCUGCCCUUAGGUUCGGAAUCACUCCCCGAAAGGGGUGCUAAUACCGGAUAAUGUCUUCGGACCAAAGAUUUAUCGCCUUUGGAUGGGCCCGCGUUGGAUUAGCUAGUUGGUAGGGUAAAAGCCUACCAAGGCGACGAUCCAUAGCUGGUCUGAGAGGAUGAUCAGCCACACUGGGACUGAGACACGGCCCAGACUCCUACGGGAGGCAGCAGUGGGGAAUAUUGGACAAUGGGCGAAAGCCUGAUCCAGCAAUGCCGCGUGAGUGAUGAAGGCCUUAGGGUUGUAAAGCUCUUUUACCCGGGAUGAUAAUGACAGUACCGGGAGAAGAAGCACCGGCUAACUCCGUG